Molecule: ribosomal RNA, 462 nt
Filed under: Streptococcus mitis
Lineage: Bacteria; Bacillati; Bacillota; Bacilli; Lactobacillales; Streptococcaceae
Description: bacterial SSU rRNA
Rfam family: Bacterial small subunit ribosomal RNA
Source: RNAcentral
GACGAACGCGGGCGGCGUGCCUAAUACAUGCAAGUAGAACGCUGAAGGAGGAGCUUGCUCUUCUGGAUGAGUUGCGAACGGGUGAGUAACGCGUAGGUAACCUGCCUGGUAGCGGGGGAUAACUAUUGGAAACGAUAGCUAAUACCGCAUAAGAGUAGAUGUUGCAUGACAUUUGCUUAAAAGGUGCAAUUGCAUCACUACCAGAUGGACCUGCGUUGUAUUAGCUAGUUGGUGAGGUAACGGCUCACCAAGGCAACGAUACAUAGCCGACCUGAGAGGGUGAUCGGCCACACUGGGACUGAGACACGGCCCAGACUCCUACGGGAGGCAGCAGUAGGGAAUCUUCGGCAAUGGACGGAAGUCUGACCGAGCAACGCCGCGUGAGUGAAGAAGGUUUUCGGAUCGUAAAGCUCUGUUGUAAGAGAAGAACGGGUGUGAGAGUGGAAAGUUCACACUGUGACG